GAUGAAGAACGCAGCGAAAUGCGAUAAGUAAUGUGAAUUGCAGAAUUCAGUGAAUCAUCGAAUCUUUGAACGCACAUUGCGCCCCUUGGUAUUCCGAGGGGCAUGCCUGUUCGAGCGUCAUUAUAACCCCUCAAGCUCAGCUUGGUGUUGGGGCCUGCUGCACUGGCAGCCCUUAAAAUCAGUGGCGGCGCCAUCUGGCUCUAAGCGUAGUAAUUCUUCUCGCUAUGGAGUCCUGGUGGAUGCUUGCCAUCAACCCCCAAUUUUUCUAUGGUUGACCUCGGAUCAGGUAGGGAUACCCGCUGAACUUCAGCAUAUCAAUAAGCGGAGGA
Molecule: unclassified non-coding RNA, 329 nt
Filed under: soil metagenome
Description: partial contains 5.8S ribosomal RNA, internal transcribed spacer 2, and large subunit ribosomal RNA
Rfam family: 5.8S ribosomal RNA (bases 1-120)
Source: RNAcentral